GACGAACGCUGGCGGCGUGCUUAACACAUGCAAGUCGAACGGAAAGGCCCUGCUUUUGUGGGGUGCUCGAGUGGCGAACGGGUGAGUAACACGUGAGUAACCUGCCCUUGACUUUGGGAUAACUUCAGGAAACUGGGGCUAAUACCGGAUAGGAGCUCCUGCUGCAUGGUGGGGGUUGGAAAGUUUCGGCGGUUGGGGAUGGACUCGCGGCUUAUCAGCUUGUUGGUUGGGUAGUGGCUUACCAAGGCUUUGACGGGUAGCCGGCCUGGGAGGGUGGCCGGCCACCUUGGGCCUGCGAUACGGCCCAGACUCCUACGGGAGGCAGCAGUGGGGAAUAUUGCCCAAUGGGCGGAAGCCUGAUGCAGCAACGCCGCGUGCGGGAUGACGGCCUUCGGGUUGUAAACCGCUUUCGCCUGUGACGAAGCGUGAGUGACGGUAAUGGGUAAAGAAGCACCGGCUAACUACGUG
Molecule: ribosomal RNA, 468 nt
Filed under: uncultured bacterium
Lineage: Bacteria
Description: partial 16S ribosomal RNA
Rfam family: Bacterial small subunit ribosomal RNA
Source: RNAcentral